GCAGUCGAGGGGUAACAGGGGAGCUUGCUUCCGCUGACGACCGGCGCACGGGUGCGUAACGCGUAUACAAUCUACCUUUUGCUGUGGGAUAGCCUUUGGAAACGAAGAUUAAUACCGCAUAGUAUGCAGACUUCUCAUGAAGAUUGCAUUAAAGGUUACGGCAAAAGAUGAGUAUGCGUCCUAUUAGCUAGUUGGUGUGGUAACGGCACACCAAGGCCACGAUAGGUAGGGGCCCUGAGAGGGGGAUCCCCCACACUGGUACUGAGACACGGACCAGACUCCUACGGGAGGCAGCAGUGAGGAAUAUUGGACAAUGGAGGCAACUCUGAUCCAGCCAUGCCGCGUGCAGGAAGACUGCCCUAUGGGUUGUAAACUGCUUUUAUACGGGAAGAAACACUGCUACGUGUAGCAGCUUGACGGUACCGUAAGAAUAAGGAUCGGCUAACUCCGUGCCAGCAGCCGCGGUAAUACGGAGGAUCCAAGCGUUAUCCGGAAUCAUUGGGUUUAAAGGGUCCGUAGGUGGAUGAUUAAGUCAGAGGUGAAAGUCUGCAGCUCAACUGUAGAAUUGCCUUUGAUACUGGUUAUCUUGAAUUAUUAUGAAGUAGUUAGAAUAUGUAGUGUAGCGGUGAAAUGCAUAGAUAUUACAUAGAAUACCAAUUGCGAAGGCAGAUUACUAAUAAUCAAUUGACACUGAUGGACGAAAGCGUGGGGAGCGAACAGGAUUAGAUACCCUGGUAGUCCACGCCGUAAACGAUGGAUACUAGCUGUUCGGAUUUAUCUGAGUGGCUAAGCGAAAGUGAUAAGUAUCCCACCUGGGGA
This 819-nucleotide ribosomal RNA is filed under the name Flaviramulus aestuariivivens. RNAcentral's name for it is "bacterial SSU rRNA". It matches the Rfam family "Bacterial small subunit ribosomal RNA", at positions 57 to 879 of the family's 1533-position model. The record is from RNAcentral. Lineage: Bacteria; Pseudomonadati; Bacteroidota; Flavobacteriia; Flavobacteriales; Flavobacteriaceae.